AACGAACGCUGGCGGCAGGCCUAACACAUGCAAGUCGAGCGAGGACUUCGGUCCUAGCGGCGGACGGGUGAGUAACGCGUGGGAACGUGCCCUUUGCUUCGGAAUAGCCCUGGGAAACUUGGAGUAAUACCGGAUGAGCCCUUUGGGGGAAAGAUUUAUCGGCGAAGGAUCGGCCCGCGUUGGAUUAGGUAGUUGGUGGGGUAAUGGCCUGCCAAGCCGACGAUCCAUAGCUGGUUUGAGAGGAUGAUCAGCCACACUGGGACUGAGACACGGCCCAGACUCCUACGGGAGGCAGCAGUGGGGAAUCUUAGACAAUGGGGGAAACCCUGAUCUAGCCAUGCCGGGUGAGCGAUGAAGGCCUUAGGGUUGUAAAGCUCUUUCAGCUGGGAAGAUAAUGACGGUACCAGCAGAAGAAGCCCCGGCUAACUCCGUG
This 433-nucleotide ribosomal RNA is filed under the name uncultured bacterium. Its description in RNAcentral is "partial 16S ribosomal RNA". It matches the Rfam family "Bacterial small subunit ribosomal RNA", at positions 29 to 507 of the family's 1533-position model. The record is from RNAcentral.